ACUUAUACAGCUGAGUGAGUAUAAUUUUAUGGAUGAGAAAUUGUGUUCAACCAAUUGAUAACUUAUUUGAAAAAGUAACUAGCAUGUUAGAUAACAAGGAAGCCAAUGGAUGGAGAAAAUGUUGUUAUACAUAAUUUGGUCUAUGAAGUGCCCCAUAAAAGAUUACCGCAUUAGAUAAGCACCUGUGGACUUGAACGUAAUAGGUUAAGUCCAGGGGGAAUAUAGAAGUUGGGAUGUAAUGUUAAAAUUGUACAAGGCAUUGG
Amblyraja radiata (thorny skate) is the source of this 263-nucleotide long non-coding RNA. RefSeq lists it as uncharacterized. The transcript is spliced from 3 exons. Lineage: Eukaryota; Metazoa; Chordata; Chondrichthyes; Rajiformes; Rajidae. The record is from RefSeq and is a predicted model, not a curated record.